RNAcentral lists this long non-coding RNA (17350 nucleotides) under Lathyrus oleraceus (garden pea). RNAcentral's name for it is "Pisum sativum (pea) long non-coding RNA (PSAT_LNC032156)". The record is from RNAcentral. Lineage: Eukaryota; Viridiplantae; Streptophyta; Magnoliopsida; Fabales; Fabaceae.
AAGAAGCUUCUUCACUCCUGCACAGCAUGGCGGUGGAGGACUGGCAUUAUUAGGAGCUUGAAGAUAAGUAAGGCAUGGAGCCAAAUCACCGGAUACAGUUCCACAUGACAAAGCAGCUUCUGCCAUAAGCUUGAAGAUAAGUAAGGCAUGGAGCCAAAUCACCGGAUACAGUUCCACAUGACAAAGCAGCUUCUGCCAUAGGCGCAAUAACUACCAUGCACAUCACCAAAGCAACACAUGCUAAUUUCAUGCUUGUUGCCAUUUUUGUUUUCUUUGUUUUCUAUUCUUUUUCUUAGUUUGUUUGAAUGGUGUGUAAUGUCUUUGUGGGAGGGGGUUUAUAUAGAAAAUAAGAUAAGGUUUGAAGAUGAGUAGAUUGAUGAAUUUUUUGUGAAUGUGCAUAAAAAUUAGGUGGUAGUUGUGGUUUGAAUUAAUGACGUAUGGUCCAUUAUCUAUAAUUAUUGAGCAUUUGUCUCACUAUCUUUAAUUUAUUAUUUAAUGAUAUGGUACACAGUUAGAUUGGACGAUAAUUACUGUAGUUUCCGAAUUCAAUUUUCCACCCUCCUUCUUUCUCUUCUCUAUUUUAUCGGUGCUUUCUGCGCUUUGUAUGAUUUUUAACUUUCUUAUAUAGGAUUAUCUUAUUAAUACUACUAUUUUAAAAUUUAGUAUAUUUUUUUAAAAGCAAAUAUUAAAAGAGGGUGGGAUAUAUAGAAUGAAACUUGUUUCGCCAUAGUUUUGAAUGGUUUUAGUGUUAUGAUUCGAGAUUUUGAUCUUAGGGGUUUUAUUAGAAAGGACAUCGUCCCUCCUAAAGUACGUGUUUUGUCUAAUGCCUCUUUAGAAAAAAUGUUCAGAACAUGUAUGUGAAAUUUUACAUGACCAUAGGAUAGAAAGCAAUUUUGGAUUGUUUGAAAGCAGCACAUGUUCAAAAUUUCCUCCUUGCUAUUAUUAUUAAUGGUCAUGCCAACAUAUGACCCUGAUAGAAUAUCAUACAAUUCUUAAAUAUCGAUUUAUGAUUCCCUUAUUUCUUGUCGACAAAGUUUUCUCUGUUUUUCGUAAGGUGUGCUUGGAUAUAUUUGGGGUGUCAUUUGACAUACUUUGGCGUGCCACGGUACCUGUGAAGAAAGAGUCACAUGUGAAUUUUUGUACUGACCACGUGAGGGAUGAUCGACACUUAGGCCAACAAAUGUUUUAGUGUACGAGUGGAUAGGAGAGAAACAUGCAUAUGUAGACUUGAUUUCAGUUUUGACAAACAUUUUAAAAAUAAAUCGAACACGCUAGGUUAAAUUACACGAAACGUAGAUUAAUAAAAUUGAUGUUUGCAAGCUUGAUUUUGAAAAUUUUCGUCAACUAUUUUGACACACAUUUUACAAUUGAUUCAACCGAUUUUCCUGUAGAUACAAAAAUUUAUUUCGACUGACAUUCUAGACAUUAUGCGGUAUGAAAUACAUGUUAUGUUAUGCAGAGAUGCAACAAUUAUGAUGAAUGCAUUGAAUCGUUGAUUCACGGUCAAAAUCGGGAUGUGACAAGUUCUACCAGGGUUUCAUCAAGGGUUCCAUCUAAGGUUUUUAUCAAGGGUUCCACUAGGGUUUCAUCAAGGGCUCCAUCAAGGGUUCCAUCUAAGGUUUUUAUCGAGGGUUCCACCAAGGUUUCAUCAAGGCUCCAUCAAUGGUUUCAUCAAGGUUUUGUCAGGAGUUUUUAUCUAGGGUUCCACCAAGGUUUCAUUAAGGGCUCCAUCAAGGGUUUUAUCAAGAGUUUUUAUCAAGGGUUCCACCAGGAUUUCAUCAAGGGUUUCAUCACGGGUUUUAUCAAAGGUUCCACCAGGGUUUCAUCUAAAGGUUUCACCAAGGGUUUCAUCAAAGUUUGAUCAAAGGGUUUCAUCAGGGUUCCACAAAGGGUUUCAUCGGGGUCCCACCAGGGGUUAUGUUAGAAGUUUCGUUAGCAGCGAUCGGAGGAUCACUACAAUCCUACUUGAAUUUCGUAAAAAAUGAUCAGAGGAUCAUCGGAAUCAUACACAGGUUUCACCAAGAGGGGUUGAAACCUACCAAAGAUUCUGGUUCCAUCAUAGUGUUGCAUGGAUUCCCCCAAGGAAGUGGUUCAAAUAUUUGAGUUCCAUUAAGGAUAUUAUUCGGGAUCCAUUAGAUUGGUUAUGUGAGUUUCACAAGGGUUCCACCAAAAGUUGGUUUAGAUACCAACGAAGUACAAAAGGCAUCAAGUCUUUAUACAUCCCCAAAAAAUCUACUAACUCCAUGGACAAAAUUAGGGUCCCUCUCUAUAUUUAAUCGUCUUCCGUCAUGAGAGGAUGAAGACUCGCCAUCACCAUCAUCUCAAUUUAAAUUUGAUUAAAUAGGGACAGUUGUCUUACCCCAAAAUUUGUCUGCCCUUCAUAUGUUUUCUAACGCCACUUUAUUUCGAAUAAAUGAAAUGACACUGUUUUUUUACUGAGUCCCAACUUUAUUUUUAAAAAAGUUUGUUUUUUUAUUUUUAUUUUUUUAAAACCACUGAUGGAUUUUCUUUUCUAUUUCAUUAGUGCCUUUUAAUUUGAAAUUUAAAUUUUAUUUAUUUGAAUAUUAUAAUAUAUAUAUAUAUAUAUAUAUAUAUAUAUAUAUAUAUAUAUAUAUAUAUAUAUAUAUAUAUAUAUUAAUUAUAUAUAUAUAUAUAUUAGUAUAUAUAAAUCUUUUACUAAUAAUUUACAAAUUUUUGUAAAUAAUAUCCACUACUAUUUCGAUCACAGAACAUACUAGUAAUAUAUUGACAUGUGAUACUUCCCUAAUUAUUCUGCAUCUUGUAUGAUUUUCAAUAAAAAUAUACAAAGUGUUGUACCAUAGAAUAAAUCAAAAAACUUAAUAUAUGAAACUAUUAAUAUGAUAUUUAAUUAAGUUUUUAGGCAACACAUAAUUGCAUCAAUUAACUCUGGUUGAUAAAUUAUGACUAUUUAUUUACGUUUUAUAAAUUAUAUUAUAUAUCACAUAUAUUUGAAAAUAAUUCAUAUUUUACAUAAAAAAGAAAUCAAUUUAUUUUAAGUAAUUGUAUAUAUAAGUAUUUUAUCAAUUCAACUCUUAAAUUAAAAUUUUAAAUUGAUAACUUUUAUAAUUUCUUAUAAAAAUUCAAUGAAUAUUGAUUACACGUGCAUUUAAUCUUGUUUUCCAAUUUAGACAUUCUUGAAAAUAUUUUAGAAGUAAUAAUAUAAUAAUAAAAAAUCAUGCAAUACAUCUAUAAUUUUUUUUACAAUGUAUAACUUAAUUUUUUUUAACAAACAAUACAUAUAACAUAAACUUAUACUAGUAUUUAUUAUUACAUAGAUUAAAUGGCCCCACAUCCUUAAUUUUCUGGAUCUACCCCUAGAUCCUACAAACAAAAACCAUCCCACGUUACACUACACAACCAUUGCAUGUGAAAAAUAGUAAUGUAUGUUGGUACAAAGCAGAGAGAAAGAAUGGUAAAAGAUCUAGUCUCAUCUCAUUUUUAGUUAACAAUUAAUUUCUUUUUAUUUGAUUUAACUAUCAUUUAACUAUCAUUAUUUUUAUUUUUAUUUGACAUUUGAAGCAUAGGCUCAAACCUAAUAGUAUCAAUCUCUUCAUAUAUCAAAACUUUUUUAAUUCAUGAAUUGAAUAGUUCUUUUUUCUUUUCAACAAAUAUUUAAACUUCUUGGUGCUUUUGUUACGGAUUUGAUAAAGUGAUUUGGUCUUCAACGCCAUUGACUCAACGUCGCAGUCACUCUGUCGACACUUCCUCUCAAACUAGAAGGUUUUAGGUUUAUUUUUUUUCCUUUUAUCAUAUAAAUGUGUGAGUCUGUCUUUGGCCCAUGUGUAUGUCCAUUUAAUUGAUUUUGUUCUACAUGUUAAUUAAUUACAUUUACACGGUAUAUUAUAACUCUUAGAUUAAUUUUUGUGUCAUUCAGCAGAAAAGUAUAUUAAUGUAAUUUUGUUUGAUACUUGAAAAGAUUAAAAAAGAUAAUAUUAUAAAAACACCCAAAAUAUUAAUUUAGUUAAUUCUCUUUUAUUAACUCUUUUUUCAUUUUAUUAAUUUCGACCACUAAGAUUAUUAACAUAUAAAAGUAAUAAACUCAUAUCUUAUUUUACUUUACGUUAAAAACAAAAUAAAAGUCAAAAAUAUUUCUUUACAUAUUUAAAAUAUUUCUUCUCAUUUUUAAUUCUAAAAAUUUAAAAAGACAAAAAAAUAUAUUAUAUAUUUUAUAUCUUUGUUUUUUGUUUAAAAAUUAAUCUAUUAGGUCUAACUUAAUCUAGUUUAUUUUCUUCUAAAUUCAUUUUAAAAUAAAUUUAUUUCUUUAUAAUAAGAAUAGUAAAAAAAACAAUAAUAAUAAUAAUAAUAAUAAUAAUAAUAAUAAUAAUAAUAAUAAUAAUAAUAAUAAUAAUAAUAAUAAUAAUAAUAAUAAUAAUUAUCUAUGUAAAUAUGAAUUUAUUUUCUAAAUCAAAUUAAAACUAUAUUUUGCAAACUAACUUGAUUGUUUGGCGUCACACCUUAUCGAUAAAUAAUUCAACUAAAAACUUAAAAUCAAUUCAAACACAAUCAAAUGUUAUUUUCUCUGUCCUUGUGCAUUGAUAUUCGCUUUUUUAAACAAAAAUUUCUCCGCCCUGGUGCUUGAGAUAUUUUCACAACUAAAAUCAACAAACAUACAAUAUUUUCUAGACGGAUUUCAGUACUUUGAUCAUUCAUAUUGCUUGAGGGUACGUAGGCAUAGAGUUGUAACACUCUGGUGAAUACAAUAACAAAAACCUUUUCUCUGUCAUCUUUCCUGAUUAAAUUUUUCUUUUAUUAAAAUGAUAACCUAAUUCCCUGUAAAUAGGUAUAUUAAGCAAAAAUAGAUAACAUAAGAAAACACCCCAUAGAUAACACCUCCCCCUCACUAAAUCGACUCCCGAACCCUAAUGCACUAUCCUUACCUUUUAGGGUUUUCUCAUUAUUUCCCAUGUUCAUUAGGAACAAAUAAAAUAUGGUGGCAACUCGGUAAUUUUCCAGCCGCGACAACAAUAUUCCAUCUUAAAUAUCUUGAGUAUCUCACUUGUAUAUCUUCUUUGAUGCAUCACCAAAUCUCUACUACUCUUGUAGAAUUUGAUGCCAAGAAAGUAUGAAAUGUCUCCCAAAUCAAACAUUUCGAAUUCCUUGCUAAGGUCACCUUUGAAGUCUUCGAUCUCUUUCUUACAAUUACCAGUUCUUAAUAAGUCAUCGACAUAGAGAUAUAGUAUAAGCAAUUCACUCUUGCUUCUUCUUACAUGUAAUCCAUGUUUAGUUGUGCACUUCACAAAUUCGUCCUCCCUUAGAAAGCUAUAUAUCUUCUUAUUCCAAGCUCUUGGAGCUUGCUUAAGUCCAUACAGGGCUUUGUACAACCUGUAUACCUUGCUUUCUUCGACUUGUUUCACAAACCCAACUGGUUGUGCAACAUAAACUUCUUCAUCUAAGAGGGUCAUUUAAGAAUGCACAUUCACAUCCAUAUGACACAUAUGCCAGUUGUUCGUGUUUGCUAGACUAACAACCAACCUGAUUAUUUUGAUCCUAGUAACAGGUGCAAAAACUUUGUCGAUUCCUUCUUUUUGAAGAAAUCCUUUCGCCACAAGUAUUUCCUUGUGUCGAGUUACUUCUCCUUUAGGAUUCAACUUCACCUUGUAUACCCACUUCUCAUUGAUUGCCUUCUUGUCUUUAGGCAAUUCGACAAGUGACCAAGUGUUGUUGACUUCAGUGGACUUCAGUUCCUCAUUCAUUUCUUUCAUCCACUUCGAAUCCUUCAAUACCUCGACUGCAUUGACUAGUUCAUCAUAUGCAUAGAAAGCAUAGUGUACCAGCUCACCUUUAUCAUCAACCACAUCAUCUAAUGUAAUCACACAUUCUUUCAACCUUACAGGCAUAUGUCUUGUUCUUUGAGGUCUGUUUGUGCUUGUUUGACCUCUGACUUCUUCUUGUCGAACUUCUCUUUCGAAUUCACUUGUUGGGUAUUCACAUAGGAUUCAUACUGAAUCCUUCUUGACAUUUUCAGUCCAAUCACAUUCCUUAAGCUCAUCUAUGAUCACAUCCUUGUUGAUCAAUAAUUGCUUGUUCAUCAAUAUUGUUUCAGAAUUCUCCAUAGGUUUGGUGUAUUUCCACAUUCAGGAAUUUCGUCUUAAUCCCAACAUCUGGUAUCUAAGCACUAGCUGUGUGAUUCUUGGGAAGCAUAAUGCUCUGAUUGAUUACACCUUUUGUUCUCCACUCUUCACUUGAGUGAAUCAACCAACCUUGAUUUCAAGAUGAUUUUGUUGCACGAUGACUAUUGAAGAAGAAAAAAAAGAUGAAUUGAGGAAGAAAGGAGAAUUUAGGGUUUGAGAGAAAAGGGGAAGAAGAAGAAGAAUUCUGCAGAGUUUUUCUUUCUGCUUUCAAACUGAAAUUUUAUUCAACUUUUUUCUAUGCAACUGCAUUACAAACAACGAUAAGUACCUCCUUAUUUAUAGGUUGAUAUUGCUUCCACACCAACCAAUCACCAACUAACCUAACUAACUAAACUAAAACAAACAAAUAAAAUUAAGUCAAAAUUAUGUCGAGAUACACUUUAAUAUUUCGACAACUCCUUUCGAACAACAUGCUUCAAUAUAAGAAAUUACAUUUUCAAAUAUAUAUAUAUAUAUAUAUAUAUUAUAUAUAUAUAUUAUAGAUUUUUUUUUUUUUUUUUAAAAUGAAAGUUAUUGUCGACCAAGACUUUCCUCAUUUUAAAGGCAUUUAUUAUUAAUCAAGUGAGUGCCUCUAUCAAAUUUUCAUUUAUAUAUAAAUUUUUGCUUUUAAUCAAUAUCCAUUAAAUAAAUGGUUGUUAUCCUUUAAACAUGACACGAUAUAUACUCUCAAGAGAGGUAAACACCACUUAACUUUUUUCAUUAAUGAACCAUGGAUAAAAUUAAUACGACCUUUAGUAUUUUAAAUUGACAUUAUCAAAACAAUAAAAUGACGAGAAAAUUAGAAAGAAAAAACAAAUUGAUCUUUAGAAUUGACUUAUCUAACACUGCAUCGAUGAUAAUAAAAACAGGCAGCAUUAUGUCGACAGGGACGGUUGCCGACCAUACUGUGUGUCAGCAAAGUUGAUAAAUUUCACCAUAGGUGUUCCUUAAUCACGGCACCGAAUUCAUACCCCACGAUGUUGUGGUACCCAUUGAAAUUCAAACUGUUGCUAUUUUGCAGACUGCAAUACAUUUUUUGUUUGGCAAUAAAGUUAGUCAGCCAUGGAUCCAUAAAUAAUUGAUUGGAGCUUAGUUAACUGUUUAAAUAUUCAUACAAAAAAUAUUUUUAUUUAAAAAAAUUUAAAAAUAACAAAAAUUGAACACACUUGCUUCUAAGUUUAAUCUCUCUAAUUUAUUCACUUGAGAAUAGAUUAGACUAGAGAAUCAAAUUUAGAAUAUUUUGUAAUCAAUUGUGUAAAUGUUCAUGUUGUUAUAAAUAUAAUAAAUACAAUGAGGAAAGGCAUCCCGCCAGAAUUUGUGACAUCCAUGUCACCUUUAUCAAAGAGGAAAUGAGACACCAUAAAAUCUUUAUGAUAACUCUCAAAGGAUCCGUCAUGGAAUAAAUCAUUAGAAUACAACACCAUAAAAUCUUGGAGGAAAUUAUGUGAAGAUUUCAUAAUACAAUUCAUAACACAUUGGAGAAAGUUGAAGAGAGUAGUGUUCCUUAGUGGGAUCCAUUAGAAGAAGAAUGAUACCUCAAAUACAUGUAAUAAUUGUGAGGUCAUAGUAAUUUCACGUGUAAAAGCAUGUAUAAUUGUAAGGAUAGGGUGAUUUCAAUGUGAAAUAUGAUUUUCCACAAUAUCUUGAAUUCCAUUAUAACUCACUCUAAUUCAUGCAAUAUUAGUCAUAAAAAUGGUUUAAAUGCUUUAUAAGUAUCUUGGAAAAAGUAGUAUCAUAGGGUGUCACCAGACACAGACACUUAUUUUAAUGUUUCGUCUAUUUCUUAUCUUCAAUUUCAAGCAUUUUAGUAAGUUUAGAAGGACCAUUUAUUUAGCGUUAAAUGUGAACAAAGGAUCCACUGUCAUUAAGUGGGUUCCCGAUUUAUAUGAAGGGAUAUGUAAGUCAUGGUAACUCGAGAACCACUUAUGAAACUAAUCUAUAUCCAAACUUAUCAAAAUAGAAAAAUCUUGAUCACCACAACUUAAUCAUAACAUCUUGAUCUUCAAGUACCAACAUUUGGUAAACAAGUUUUGAUCUUCAAGCACCAUCACUUGAUCCACAAUAUGUCAGUUACCACCACUUGAUCAACAACUAUCAAGAAUCAUCACUUGAUCAACCACAUAUCAAUCACAAGAUCCACAUAUAAAGCACCAUCAAUUGAACAAUAAGAUGUCAAGCAUCAUCAUUUGAUCAACAUAUCAAGUGUCAUCACUUGAUUAAUCUUCAAGCACAAUCACAUGAACCAACUUAGACUUGAACAAGACUGAUGAAGAAUUCUCUUAAGAGUCUUGUCAACAUCAAAACCAAAAUAAUACAUUGUUAGAGUCUUCAUACCUGUAAACACAUAGAUCCACAUUAUCCUUUUUUUUUGAUGAAAAAUAAUCUCUUAAGGAGUUGGAAUAACAAAGAAAAAAUGUUAUAAAACUUGGAGUGAUUAAACUCCCCCUACAAACAUAGAGAGUAUACCCUACUUCCCCUGAGAGUAUACUUUUGCCCCCUUGGCGUUAUCAAAAAUUUGGGGAAAAUUAAGCAGAUAGACUUGUAUAUGAAUUAUUCAAGCACAUAUAUCAUAAGAGAUGUGCAUAGACAUUUAAUGGAAAACAUACUUCAUCAAUUGAAAUGACGGAAUUCAAAUACAGAAAGGGAAAUAACAAGGAAUUUAAAAGACUAUGAAAAGAAGGAAAAACAUAGGUGAGAUAACUAUUUGUUGUCAUUAAUAUCAUCAUCUAUGAUUAUGUAUUUUUUGUUGUUGAGUUCCUCUUGAUGAUAACCAUGUCCUUUAUUAAUUUUUGAAUAGCCAUAGUGUUUUUCUGAGAUAUUUUCAGAAGGUGUUAAUGAUUGAAUCAUUUGUUGUAUCUAGAUGGAUACUUCAUUUAUGGAUUUGUUCCAUAAUUCUCCUUGAAAGAUAUGAACCCUCAUACUACUGAGGGAUGAGUAGUUAAUACUAUAGUGAUUGAAUCCAUAAAUUCCCCUUGUGUUGACUCUUAGAGUAUCUAUAAUAUUGGUGAUCAAGGCUCUAUAUCGUGACCCUGUUGAUCGAGACUGCUUGUAGGAGGUCAUAUGGAGAAGCAUCUCGUUGAUCCAAUUUGUUUGAAACUGUUGGGUAAGCAGCCACAAAGGGACCAUAUAUUCUCGAAUGAUGACUUCAAGAUUAUCUUGUAUAGGGAAGAGUAUAUGUGUGAUAAAAUAAUGUUGGGUGAGAAUAUGGAGCAUAGAAAUGGUGUAUAUGGGGGGAGGGGGUUGAAUACACCCUUUUGAAAAAUUUAACCAAUUUUUGAAAUGAAAAAUCAGAGUUUUUGAUGUGGAAGUCUUAUAACAAAAAAAGAUAGACUUUAUGCUUAAAUUGGAAAUUAACCACGUAUACAAUUACCUAAUUAACAAAUAUCUUUGAUUGAUUAGAGAUAAUAUCUAAAGAGUUACAUGCUACGAUGAAUUGUCACUUUGUUAAUUACACAAGAUAUGUUCUUUACAAUAUCCAAUUUCUAUGAAAGUUUAACACAACAGUUUGUAGAAUUUAAUCAGAACUAAAACACAAAUAGAUUUUGAUUCUAACAAAACCUAAAUUUAUAUAAUAAAUAACUACCAACAGGUAUUAACAAUAAAUUACACUAAGAAAGGUUAACCUAAACAUGCAAUAGCCUACGAAAAAUUAAAAUGAGAGAGAGAAAGAGAGUGUGAACACUAGGAUGUAUAGUGGUUCAGAUCUAUCUUCCUGCAUGAGCCUAAUCCACUCUCCAAUUGUUUCUCAUUAAAAAAAUUUCUUCAACUAUGUUUUGAAAAAAAUUACCUGAGUUCAUACAAUCAUUAAUCCAUAAUAAUGCUGAGAAAAUAAAUCUUUUAUCUGGAUCUUAACUUGUACACUGCCUUUAUACUGAACUCUUUGUGAAAUCUUUACUCGGUUAUUGCUUCUUUAAUCUUCCAGAUUCACCAAUAUUCUCCAAGUCUCCGUGUAUGGUAAUCGCCCAUGAUCUCACUAAUUUCUUGAGCAAUGAAUUGUCUGAAGAUUGAGAAGAACCGCUACCUUGUAUGUAGGCUUCCUUAUAACUCUGCCAAGAGAUUUUGAGUUUUCAAAGAUAUGGAAGUUGUUGUUGUUAUGUUCUUGGUUAUUAUAAAUUGAGAUGACAAAAUAAUUUAUAUGUGCUAGAGAUUACGCACAAAAGUAUGUGAAAAAUGGUUCUUAGAUUCGAGUCAAGAACAUUUGUUGAUUUGAGUCAAGUGAGCAAGUAAAGUGGAACAAGAUUAACAUAACAAAAGUGACUUAUUUCCUGUGAUUCGAGUCAAAUUAUAUGUAUGAUUCUAGUUAUACAAGCUCAUAAUUUGAGUCAAGUAGAAACCCUGAUUCGAAUCAAUUUGAACUGAGCCGAAUAGUAAAAUGUGAAAAAACUAUGUGAUUCAAGUCAUUUGUAAAGUGUGAUUCAAAUCAAACUGGGAAGUGGCAAAUAGGAUUUGUAUGAUUCAAUCAUGUGCAACUUGUGAUUUGAGUCACAGUGUUGUAUAAUUUUGAAUCAAGUUAAAAUUGUGAUUUGAGUCACAGAUGCAAAAGUCUCCGGCUUCCAUUCCCUGCACAUAGACCUUAAUAUUUUCUUAGCACAAUCUCUGCCAAAAACGGACUUUCCUAAAUUGUUGAUUUUGUUGAUUAAGUGGAAGAACCUAGUCUUCAUGGAUUCCACGAAUUCUCCGGGAUCCACACGAAAUAGUUCGAACUCAUCUGUUACCAUGUUGAUCUUAGAAUCCUUGACGUCAUUUGUUCCAUUGUAAAGGGUUUGAAUAUCGUCCCACAUAGAUUUUGCGCUCUUAUGAUGUAAAAUAGAGUAUAAUACUUUCACACUUAAAAUUGAGAUAAGUAUGUUACUCGCUUUCAAAUCAUAUGAAGCCUUUUUGGUUUCAUCAUCUAUCUAAUCCUUUGGGUGUUUAACAUCUACCCGUAGAUUUUUAUAAAUUGAUAAUAAAUGUACAUACAUAUUUUCUUUCCAAUAAUGAUAAUUAUCGGCAUCUUCACCCAUAUUCCCAAAAUUUUGAGUCACUUAGACCUGAUCAAAAUACCAACUUUGAUACUAAUUAUUGGGUGAGAAUAUGGAGUAGAAAAUGGUAUAUAAUGGGUGAAUAGACCCUUUUGAAAAAUUUGACCGAUUUUCAAAAUGAAAAAUCGAAGUUUUUGAUGCGGAAGUCUUAUAGAAAAAAUAGAGACUUUAUGCUUGAAUUGGAAAUUAAUCACUAAUAUAAUUACACAAUUAAUAAAUAUCUCAGAUUGAUAAGAGAUAAUAUCCAAAGAGUUACCACCUGUGAUGUAUUGUCACUUUGUAAAUUACACGAGAUGUGUUCUUUACAAAAUACAAUUUCUAUGAGAUUCUAACACCACAGUUUGCAAAAUUUAAUUAGCACUAAAACACAAAUGAGUUCUGAUUCUAAAAAAAACUAAACUUGUGUAAUAAAUUGCUACCAACAGUAAUUAACAAUAAACUACACUAAGAAACGAUUACCUAAACAUGCUAUAUCCUACAAAAUUAAAAUAAGAGAGAGAGAGAGAGAGAGAGAGAGAGAGAGAGAGAGAGAGAAAGAGAGAGAGAGAGAGAGAGAGAGAGAGAGUACGCCCGAAUGUAUAAUGGUGCGGGUCUAUCGUCAUCAUAGAAGCCUAAUCCAUUCUCCAAUGGUUUCCCAUUGAAAGUUGUCAUUCCACUAUGUUUUGACAAAAAUUGCACGAGUUUAUACAAUCAUUAAUCCAGAAUAAUGAUGAGAAAACAAAUCUUCUAUCUGGAUCUUGACUUUUACAUAGCAUUUAGGAUGAACUUUCUGUGAAAUCUUUACUCGAUUCUCGCGUCUUGAAUCUUCCAACUUCACUAAUCUUCUCCAACUUUUCGCGUGUGGCAAUCACCUCUGAUCCCACCGAUUUCUUCACGAAGAUUGAGAAGAACGCAUACCUUGUCUGUAGGCUUCCAUACAACUCUACAAAGGUCAUCAUAGAGAGAAGAACCUUUUUUUUUCACCAGAUUUUGUCACCACAAGUCACAACAAUCCCAAUGAUAAAGUUUUUACUGGUUUGUCAACAAAUGUGAAAGAGGGGGAGGAUAAGUAUCUUUAUGGCCAGUAGUUGGUUUCUUAUAAUUAACAUCCCCUUGGACCUCUUUCUCCUUCAAAUAUUGACUUUAGAACCUUAUCAUGUGUAUGAAUCAAUAGUGAAUCAAGUUUUUAACGUAACCCCCAAAGGCGUAGUGGUUUUUUAGUGUUUCUUUCAUCCAUCAUUGGUGGAUUUGGUGUUUGAGUUCUAACUUGGUUCAUAUUUGUUGGUUACUUGUUGUAUUAGUAGCACUACUACAAAAUAGACGUUUGGUAACACCCAUUUUACAACGGUUUUCCUAUUAACCGUGGUAAUAAUUUUUUGGGGCGUUUUUUUUUUGUGUAUUUACUAAAAGAUAUUUCACAACGGUCAUUGAUACCAACUGUGGUUAAAAGUGGCGUCUGAUCAUGAGUUUGAAUCUCAGCACCUACAAUUUUGUUUUUAUUUAUUUUUAAGCCACUUUUCACCACCGUUGGAACUUUCAACUGUCGUGAAAAGUGGAUCCUGGUCAUGAGUUCGAAUCCUAGCACAUACAGUUUUAUUUUUAUUUAUUUAUUAAAAGACAUACAACAACGGUUGAUUAAAGUAACUGUUGUGAUAUGUUAAGACAUAUAACAAUGGUUGUUUAAAGUAAUUUUUCUGAUAGGUACAAUUUUUUUUUUAAUAUUUAUUAAAGUAAGCAUGUUUAUUGAGUUUCUUCGCCAUUCUUAAAUAAAUCUUUGUCGGCCAUUUAGUGAGUAUCAAUGCCCAAGACACUACCAUUGGUGAUCCGCAUGAAACCUAAAACUUAGAUGAACUUUCAACUUAGAAGAACUUCAUCUUCUACCUCCAAACAUCUUCUUCCAUUUAUGACUCUCUAUUUCUCCACUAAAUUAAACUCGAAGACAUUCUUUCUUCCAUAAGCAAAACUCAAAAACAUCAUUUCUUUCAUUAACAAAUUCCAGAACUCCAUCACCUCUUCUCCCACUUGAAUGAGACAAGGAAAACAUGGAUUCUAGUUAGCAAUGUUAGUGUUUUUGUUAUUUUGUUGUUGUUGUUGUUGUUGUUCUAUUGCUGCAUUUUUAUUUUAUUUUAUUAAAAGUCAUACAACAACGGUUGUUUAAAGUAACCAUUGUAAUAAAGUGAGACAUACAACAAAGGUUGUUUAAAGUAACCGUUGUGGUAAGUAGCGUGGUGAAAAAUGUCAUACAUACAAUCAUACCAUACCUCACAACGGUUGAUCCAAAGUGGUAGUAUCCAUUUUCCGACUGUUGUGAUAGAUAUUUUUCGUAGUAGUGUAACUAUUCGAUUUUCCUUUUCUUUCUGCUUAUUUUUGUUCUUGGUGAUUGAUUGUAUUAGCUCCAUCAUUUUAUCUUUUAGUUUUUUUUGUCUGUUUUUUUUUCUUUGGAGGUUUUUCUCUUCGUUAUUAAUAUAGUAAUUGAUAAAAAAAAUGUUAGUAAUAUUUUCCGUUACCACGUUUAAACAAUCCAACUUAUUAGUAAAACCCAUUUUGUUGUAGAUAAGUUUAUGCAACUUUAUCCAUAAUAAAUGUAAGUUAAAUAUGAACUUAAUUGUAUAAACUCAAAUCUCCUUAGACUUACGAAAUGACAUUAAUAUCAAACAAACUUGCUUUUAACUUUGUUUUUAAUUGUGAUACAUUGCAUUUUUUUAAGGGUAUUUUAGAUUUUUCUUUCACACUAUUAAAUUAAUAAAAUCACAACUUUUGUUGCAUUAAAUAUAUUUAAUAAUAUCGUUAUGAAAAAGACAUAUCAAAUUAACUUUUCUAGCCUCUUAUCUUGAUUUUUCAUUUGUGAUACAAUGAUUUUUUAAAGAUGUUUUACUAUUUUACAAUAUUAUAUUGAUAAUAUCAUAAGUUUUUUUUUGCAUUAAAUCAAUUUAAUAAUAGCAUUUAUAUAUUAAUUUAAUCAUUAAUUAUUAUAUAUGUUAUAAAAGAAAAAUUAUCUUUGAACCACAACUAAGAUUUAGAUUAAAUUAAUAUUUUAAUAACUAUUGUAUAAAAAACAAUAAUCAUAAUAUACUUUAAUUAUACUUUUAACGUUAAUAUGUAUACACGGGACAAAUGUUUGUUUGGCAUUGAUCAAUAAAUUAAAUUAAUAAAAUUAAAAAAUAAUUAUAACAUAAUUUACUAAAAUAAAUUGAUUCAACAGUCCUUGUCCUUAAAAUGUUGGAGUUUCAUAUCUUUUAAAAUUUUCAAACUUAAAAUUAUAAUAUAUAAAAUAUCAACGUGACAUUUAAAAUAAUUCAAAAUAAAAAUAAUAAAAUCAUAUCAGUAUUUUUGGAAUUAAAACAAAUAAAUAAUUGUUGAGUUAGCGAGCCACACAAAUCCUUUUGUCCAAUCAAAUUCCAAAAUAUUUAAAUGAUCUAAAUCUUUAUAUUGCAAGAUUGUUUUUGCAAAAAAUAGUUUUACAGGGGCAUAAAUUAAAAUUCGCCUAUGGCACGGGGAAAUGAUAUUAACCAUUUAUAAAAUUAUUCAUUAAAAUUAAUCUCUUUUAAAUAUUUUUAAAACAAAUGAGAAUAUUUAUAAUAUAAUAAUUAUAAUUUUUCAUACUUUUAACAUUUUUUAUUAUUUCAUUUAAAAAUUAAUAACUAAAAAUAUUCGUUGACACAUCCCGUUCAUACACGAUUUAGUCCAUAUUUGAUUUUGAUAAAAUUUUGAAUAAUUAAUUUUUCUUAAAAGUGAAUUGAAUGUUUUAUAUUUUGAUACAUAGUUGAAUUAUAAGAAUUAAAAAUCAUGUUAAGACUCGAAAUCUACCAAUGAUUGUGUCUUCGAAUUAUGAUAAAUUAUUCAGGGAAAAAUAAUUCUACCAGAAGGCAAAUAAACAUACUAAAAUUGAUUAUAAAAUGGUAAAUCAAACAAAGAAUUAUUAUUUUUAUAUCUUAAAGAGAAAAUUGAUUCUAAAAUACUAAUUUAAGUUUAUUAUGAAAAUUAUAUAAGAAAUAAAUAUUAUUGAUUGAAGAGUUAGUUAAAAUUAUAAUUAUUUUUAAUAUUAUUCAAUAAAAAAUAUGAACAAUUACAAUGCAAUUCCUACAAUUGUGUUGCAUAUUUUAAUUUUAUUCAAGUUGUUUAUCAAGAAACAAGACACUUAAAAAGGUAUUCUAGCAUACAAUUCUUACAAAAAUAAAUGUUUUUCCCUAAUAAAAUAAUUAAAUUUAAUAUUUUCAAUAGCUUGUAGAUAAAAAUAAGAUUAUUUAUAAUAAAAUAUUAAUUAAAGUGAAAUAUAAAUCAUUGAUUUUUAUUAUAAAAAAAAGGACAAAUAGUCGUAACAAAUACAUAAAAAAUACAAGAUAGAAAUAUUUGUAACAGGUAAAUAUAAAAAAAAAUAUAAAAUACACAUUUGUCAUUGUUACAUAGCAAAAUAAUACGCAAAUAUUUUUUAUUUUAUUAAUGCGAAAUAAAAACAAAAAAUUAAAUUCAAAUUCAAAAAAACAGUCUCCUCCAAUAUGUAGAUUUUGAUAGUGGUUUUGCAACAUGACUCCUCCAUAGCAGGAGUUGUAGAGACUCUCAGCACCACCUCUCACUCUAUUGAGGUUGUUGUGCACCUAGAUCAUCGUCGAUGGUCUUUGCCGUCCUUGGUGAUUUCCAUUGAUUUGUAUCUUAACCCCUUAGGAUCCGUUGUCUGUUGUCCACUAUUCAGAAGGAACUCCGUGCCAGAAUGGAUAAACAAGACACUGUCAACGACAACAUUCAGAACAUGCUAGCUCAAUUGCUUCAGAGAAUGCCUCCGCCUCCCAACCCCUAGGCACUUAGGAUUUUGUUUUUAGCCUGUUGUUUUGGCUUGUUCUGAUGACUUGUUCUUUUUGUCCUUGUCUCUGUUGCUUUUACUGAAUACAAUGUUUUUUUCUUGAAUUAUUCUUUUCUGCUAUGUCUUUUGAUUCUGACAAAAAGGGGAGAAGUCAUUAAAUGCUCUGACGAAAUUCUGUUCUAAAUACUUAGCACUUGCAACUAUUUUCUUAAAAUAAAUUUAUCUACACUAGACUUAAGAAAUUGCAGAGGGGCAACAUUAGCUGGGUGGUAAGUUUGGUAUCAAGACCUCAUUCCGCUUGGAAGCUUGGUAAAACUUUUGACUCCCGUAGCCUAUUCUCAGGGGAGGUCUUGUCUAUCUGAUCUGAUAUUGUUUAUGUUUCAUCUGCUAAUUAAGUUUGUUUUGUCAUUUUCAGAAGGGGGGAUUGUAGAACAAAUUGGUGAUCGGUACAGCAGAUUCGGCUCUNNNNNNNNNNNNNNNNNNNNNNNNNNNNNNNNNNNNNNNNNNNNNNNNNNNNNNNNNNNNNNNNNNNNNNNNNNNNNNNNNNNNNNNNNNNNNNNNNNNNNNNNNNNNNNNNNNNNNNNNNNNNNNNNNNNNNNNNNNNNNNNNNNNNNNNNNNNNNNNNNNNNNNNNNNNNNNNNNNNNNNNNNNNNNNNNNNNNNNNNNNNNNNNNNNNNNNNNNNNNNNNNNNNNNNNNNNNNUGCUAUGUCUUUUUGAUUCUGACAAAAAGGGGGAGAAGUCAUUAAUAGCUCUGAUGAAAAUACUGUCUAAAUACCUUAAGCACUCUGCAACAUAUUUUUCUUAAAAAUAAAUUUAUCUAACACUAGACUUAAGAAAUUGCAGAAGGUAUCAAGAAACCUCAUUGCUUGGAAGCUCUGGUAAGAACUUCUGAACUCCCUAGCCUAUCUCAGGGGGAGCUCUUGUCUAUCUGAUCUGAUAUUGUUUAUGUUUCAUCUGCUAAUUAAGUUUGUUUUGUCAUCAUCAAAAAGGGGGAGAUUGUAAGAACAAAAAUUGUUCUACAACAGAUUCCAUGAUUUUGAUGAUAACAAAGGAUGAAACCAAAAAUGGCACCCUAACGAAAAGUUUCUAAGUGUGCAGGAUUCUAAGGAAAGAAGGAAGAGAUCUGAUGACGUCAUCAGAUACAGAAUCAUAUCAGAUACAAAUUAUCAGAAGACCAAAAGCAUCUGAAGUAUAAACACGCUCAAGAAAGUCUAACUCUGAGCAAAAACAACAAAAUAUCAGAAGCAUCUGAACAAGAAGUACGCUCUAGAAGUUCUGACUCUGAACAACGGUAUGUCAAACUCCAGAAGCUAUCAGCGCUAUCUGAAGAAACCAUCAGAACUUAAAAGAGAUCAACAUCAGAAGUUAGAUAGCAAGAUUCCAAGAUUCCCAGAAACACGAAGACUCAGAUCUUGGAUUUC